GGGUGCAAGCGUUAUCCGGAAUUAUUGGGCGUAAAGAGCUCGUAGGCGGUUUGUCGCGUCUGCUGUGAAAACUGGAGGCUCAACCUCCAGCCUGCAGUGGGUACGGGCAGACUAGAGUGCGGUAGGGGAGAUUGGAAUUCCUGGUGUAGCGGUGGAAUGCGCAGAUAUCAGGAGGAACACCGAUGGCGAAGGCAGAUCUCUGGGCCGUAACUGACGCUGAGGAGCGAAAGCGUGGGGAGCGAACAGG
RNAcentral lists this ribosomal RNA (247 nucleotides) under uncultured bacterium. RNAcentral's name for it is "partial 16S ribosomal RNA". It matches the Rfam family "Bacterial small subunit ribosomal RNA", at positions 530 to 776 of the family's 1533-position model. The record is from RNAcentral.